Molecule: ribosomal RNA, 539 nt
Filed under: Staphylococcus sp.
Lineage: Bacteria; Bacillati; Bacillota; Bacilli; Caryophanales; Staphylococcaceae
Description: bacterial SSU rRNA
Rfam family: Bacterial small subunit ribosomal RNA
Source: RNAcentral
UUGGAGAGUUUGAUCCUGGCUCAGGAUGAACGCUGGCGGCGUGCCUAAUACAUGCAAGUCGAGCGAACAGACAAGGAGCUUGCUCCUUUGACGUUAGCGGCGGACGGGUGAGUAACACGUGGGUAACCUACCUAUAAGACUGGGAUAACUUCGGGAAACCGGAGCUAAUACCGGAUAAUAUUUCGAACCGCAUGGUUCGAUAGUGAAAGAUGGUUUUGCUAUCACUUAUAGAUGGACCCGCGCCGUAUUAGCUAGUUGGUAAGGUAACGGCUUACCAAGGCGACGAUACGUAGCCGACCUGAGAGGGUGAUCGGCCACACUGGAACUGAGACACGGUCCAGACUCCUACGGGAGGCAGCAGUAGGGAAUCUUCCGCAAUGGGCGAAAGCCUGACGGAGCAACGCCGCGUGAGUGAUGAAGGUCUUCGGAUCGUAAAACUCUGUUAUUAGGGAAGAACAUACGUGUAAGUAACUAUGCACGUCUUGACGGUACCUAAUCAGAAAGCCACGGCUAACUACGUGCCAGCAGCCGCGGUAAUA